UGGGGAAUAUUGCACAAUGGAGGGAACUCUGAUGCAGCGACGCCGCGUGAGUGAUGAAGGACUUCGUUUCGUAAAACUCUGUUCUAUGGGAAGAAAAGGACUGUACCAUAGGAGAAAGCUCCGGCUAAAUACGUGCCAGCAGCCGCGGUAAUACGUAUGGAGCGAGCGUUGUCCGGAAUUAUUGGGCGUAAAGGGUGCGCAGGCGGCUUUACAAGUUGGAUGUGAAAUAUUGUGGCUCAACCACAAACGUGCAUCCAAAACUGCAAAGCUUGAGUUAAGGAGAGGUAAGUGGAAUUCCUGGUGUAGCGGUGGAAUGCGUAGAUAUCAGGAGGAAUACCGGUGGCGAAGGCGACUUACUGGACUUAAACUGACGCUCAGACACGAAAGCGUGGGGAGCAAACAGG
RNAcentral lists this ribosomal RNA (404 nucleotides) under Fusobacteriota bacterium. Its description in RNAcentral is "Fusobacteria bacterium partial 16S ribosomal RNA". It matches the Rfam family "Bacterial small subunit ribosomal RNA", at positions 355 to 776 of the family's 1533-position model. Lineage: Bacteria; Fusobacteriati; Fusobacteriota. The record is from RNAcentral.